UCUGGUUCAAUUUUAGUCAAUGGGUAUUUUUCCUACCAUAUCUGAUUUCUCAGUGAAUUCUUGCCAUUUUCAGUGUUUACAAGCGUGAUUGCUGUGGCUUCUUAUCAUUAUGGCUUCUGAGGUCCGGUAUGGUAGCCCCUGUACUCAUGUGGACAUUUGGUGUUUUUAUUUUCAUUUAAAGAGGCUCGUGUGCCAUCCCAUCUCCUCGAGGCUGGGGGAUCACAAGUUCAGGGCCAGCCUGGCAACGUGGUGGGAUCCUGUCUCAAAAUGAAAAUAAUAAAGGGGGUCAGGGUGUGGCUCAGGGGUAGAGCACUUGCCUAGCGUGUGCUGGGCCCUGGGUUCCUUCCCUAGGACUGAAAAAAUAUUUAGUAUGUAUUUUUAAAGUGCAGACUUUUGAGGUAUAACUAAGACACCAUAAGAUUCCUUCCGUUUUAGCAUACAAUUCACUGGCUUUUAGUGUUGUUAGAAUUGUACGGCCAUAGCACAACUUCAUGCCGCAGUCUGGCUGGGCACAAAUAACCGAGCCGCCACAAAGCCUUGUAGGUUCAAACAGCAACUCUUUAUUCCCCAGCUCUCACCGGCACUGCACACACACUACUCGGGAACACACUCCUUCCACCGGGCUCCGGGCACCGUGCCCAAUCUCCCGGAACCCUCACAAGAACUGCCUGGGAACUCCAAAGUAGCGGGAGCUACAACUCAAUCAACCCAGCAUCACAGCAAUUACACACAGCUUCAAAUCGUCAUCUCAAUGGUUGGCUGGUGUCACCUUUCAACCAUUUCCUCUGGCAAUAGGCCACCGCAUCAUUCUGACUCGGCUGUGGCUCUCAACAACUUCAGAACAUUUUCACCACAACAUUAAGAAACUAAAUACUCUCUAGCCUCACCCCAUCUCCCUCUUCCCCACCUCUAAUACGUAACCUCUAGUCCACCUUCUCUCCAUGGGCCUCUCUACUCUGGAUAUUUCAUAUGAAUAGAAUCACACAGUGUGUGUCCUGCAUGGUUCGUUCAUGUCAGAAUGUGUUGGUGCUGCAUCCCUUUUCCUGACUGAAUACUAUUCCAUUCUAUGGAUGGACCACAUUGUGUUGAGAGCCACAGCCGAGUCGGGAUGACGCAUGGCAUUUUUGCCAGAAGUAGUGGUUGAGAGGUGAUGCCAGCGAGCCAUUAAGAUGAUGACUUUUGAGUUCCCGUUGAGUUCCGGUUGAGCUCUCCCAGAGAUUCCUGAAGAGUUGGCGUUGGUUGGUGAAGUUCCGGUGGUGGGAGUUCCGGUUGGUGUGGUGUGUUCCUGGAGGAGCCCUGUGGGUGGCCUUCGGGAAAGUUCCCGGGAAGUGUGCUGGUGGAGUUCGGAAAUAAAGUUUGUUCCUGCUUGAGUGGCUGGUGAUUUGUGCAACAUUGUGUUUGUUUAUGAAUCCGUUGGUAGACGUGCAGUGUCCC
RNAcentral lists this long non-coding RNA (1434 nucleotides) under Marmota monax (woodchuck). Lineage: Eukaryota; Metazoa; Chordata; Mammalia; Rodentia; Sciuridae. The record is from RNAcentral.